AUGAAUCGGAAUAUCGAUCUGGACGAGUGCACACUAGUGGGAGAUAAUCGCGAGCGGGAGAGGGAGAGAGCUGGCAUGAGCGGGUUUGGGGAGAUAAUCGCGAGCGCCGUGGGGAAACAAGUCGCGGGCAAGCUCGGUGAACUCGCCACGGAGGAGGCCACCCUGCAGUGGAAGUUCAAGGACGAUGUUGAUGUCAUGGCGGACAAGAUGCAAGAUCUGGAGGCCGUUUUGCAUGAUGCGGAUGAUAGGCUGCGUCGACGAGGAAGAGAUGGGGAAGCUGUUGGGCGGUGGCUCACCAAAUUCAAGUCCGUCGCCUACGACGUCGAGGACGUGCUGGACGAUCUGGACGCCACCGAGCUCUUAAAGAAGAGCCAACCAAAGUUGAAACUGUUCUUUUCUUGGAACAAUCAAAUUCUCCAGCGGAUCACCAUGCCUCACAAGCUGAAGAAUGUGAGGGGGGAAAUAGAAAAAAUAAGAAAGGAGGGCCAGGCUCUCAAUCUUGUGAGACAUCAAGAACAAGCACAAGGGAGCAUAAACAAUGAAAGUUUUGUAGGCAUCUGUGAUGAAGGCUUGAAAUCUGGAGUGGUGGGGAGGGAUAUGGAAAAGGACAAAAUAAUCAGGCUGCUACUAAACAAUGACGGUUACGCUAGAGAGGCUAUAUCUAUUAUCCCGAUUGUCGGGCUUGGUGGUCUAGGAAAGUCAACAUUGGCUGAAUCAGUCUUUGUGGACAAGAGGGUCAAUGACUUCGAGGUCCGAGCCUGGGUUCAUGUGUCUAAGGAGUUUGGUCUGCGCAAAAUUGGGAGUGCCAUCCUCAAAAGCAUAAAUAGCAGCAUCAACCUUGACAAUUGUAGUUUGCAGUUUUUACAGGAAAAUCUCAAAAAGGAACUUGCUGGUAGAAGGUACUUGAUUGUUUUGGAUGAUCUUUGGGAAGAGGAUGUGGAUAAGCUGGAAAGGCUGAAGCGGAUGUUACGACAUGGCCGCACGGGUAGCAGGGUUAUUGUAACUACGCGUAACCAAAGCGUAGUGAAUAAAUUGAGCACCGGUGUUCUUGCACACCAAAGAAAAAUUUGUCCCGUGCCGAACUAUGAUCAAAUCAACUUGUGUGUUUUGUCAACUGAUGAAUGCUGGGAAGUAAUGAAGCAUACCACAUUUGGGCCCGAUGAUGACAAAAGUGACUUGGAGGAAAUUGGAAGGAAAAUUGCUGAGAAGUGUGGGGGUGUACCACUCGUGGCAAUUGCCCUUGGGCAAGUAAUGUCCGAGUUAAGGACUGUCGAGGCAUGGCAAAAAAUAAGAGACACAAACAUCGAUUUGGGUCAUAGAGAUCACAAGGACACAUUGGAGCGCCUCAUGCUAAGCUAUUACUACAUGAAGCUGGAAUUCAAAAUGUGCUUCACAUAUUUGGCGGCGUUUCCCAAGGGCUUCAUUAUAGAAAGUGAUCAUCUAAUUCAGCAAUGGAAGGCUCUUGGAUACAUAAUUGGAUGGGACGAUGGUAAAAGGUGCAUUAACUACCUUAUGGGGAUGUCUUUUCUUCAAAUUUCAAAAUCUUCCGCGAUUAGGUCAAGUCCAGUGCAUGCCAAUGCUCCUCGAGAGCUCACCAUGCAUGAUUUGGUGCAUGAUCUUGCAACGAUAAUUUUGGGACAUGAAUCCCUUGUUCUAAAUGCUACCGAGCCAAGGACUAGGAAGAAAGCAAAACAACGUUAUUGCCGACAUGCACAGUUGAUCAACUACCAGAAUCAGUAUAAGGUUUUCAAUGAUCUGCCAGGCAACAUCAGAUCCUUGCAUGUAAGACAUUCAAAGAAACAGCAGCUCCCGCAGAAGGCAUUUUCUAGAACCAAGUAUAUACGGGUCUUGGACCUAAGUGGAUGUUUAGCUGUGGGGCAGUCAACUACGAGAGAAAAACUUUUGCCAUCUUCCACUAUUCAGUUAAAGCUACUUAGGUACCUCAAUGCCUCUAGCUUGCCAAUUAGAUCACUUCCUAAGUCAUUCCAUACACUUCAAAAUAUGGAAACUCUAAUUCUGUCCAAUUGCUCACUUGCGACCUUGCCUAACAGUAUCUGUAGCCUCAGCAAACUUAGCUAUUUGGAUCUAGCUGGCAAUGCAAGGCUCAGUAAGCUUCCUGACAAAUUUAAUCUUCUUAGUAAACUCAUAUUCCUAAACAUGUCAAGUUGUUCCAAGCUAACCAAACUUCCUGACAAUUUUAGCCUGGAGCGUUUAGAUCAUUUAAACCUAUCAGGUUGUCAUGAGUUAGAAAACCUGCCACAAGAUUUCCACAAUCUUCAGAAUCUUAGGUUCUUGAACCUUUCUGGUUGCUACAAGAUUUCAUUUCUGCCAGAAUCAUUUUGCCAACUGAAGCAUUUGAAAUACCUAAACCUUUCAGAGUGUUGUGCCCUUAUAGUGCUCCCUGAAGGUUUUGGUGACCUUUCAGAACUUGAAUCUUUGAACCUUUCUGAUUGCUACAAGAUUUCAGUUAUGCCGGAAUCAUUUUGCCAAAUGACGCAUUUGAAAGACCUAAACCUUUCAGACUGCCGUGCCCUUAUAGUGCUCCCUGAAGGUUUUGGUAACCUUUCAGAGCUUGAAUCUUUGAACCUUUCUGAUUGCUACGAGAUUUCAGUUCUGCCAGAAUCACUUUGCCAACUGAAGCAUUUGAAAGACCUAAACCUUUCAGAUUGUCGAGCCCUUAUAGUACUCCCUGAAUGUUUUGGUGACCUUUCAAAGUUGGAGUCUUUGAACCUAACAAGUUGUCCCAGGCUAGCACGGUUGCCCGAGUCAAUCUGCAAGAUGACUAAUCUGAAGUGUCUCAAUUUGUCAUAUUGUCUAGGGAUCCUAGAGCUCCCCUCCUCACUAGGUGAUCUUAGUCUCCAAAUAUUGGACAUUUCUGCUGGUGCUCUCAUUCACUUGCCAGAUAGCAUCAGUAAAAUGGCUAGUCUCACGGAAUUUGUGGUCACGUCAGGACAUCCUAGGGUGUUUGGAGAAGCCCAGGAAAUAAAGAAGAGUCUAAAUUUGCCAGGCCGCACAGUACAUAGAGUAUGCAGGAGACCUUCAGGACACAACAGUAUAGUGGAGCUUGCACAUGAGAAUUGCCGUGAGUUGUUAAUUGGAUCUCUUCAGUGUGUCGAGAAACCACAAGACGCAAAGAGAGUCAACCUGCGUGAUAAAUCAUGUGUUCGGCAGUUAGCUCUCCACUGGAACAAACGGAAUAUGAAUGCUUCCCGCAAAAAAGGAAAGCUGAAUAUGAAUGCCGGUGAAUUAGAUGAAUCUAUUCUGGAGAACCUAAUACCAGCUCGAAAUCUUGAACAGUUUAUGAUACAAGGGUAUACGAGCAAGGGUUUCCCUAAUUGGAUGUCGCACAUAUCCUCCCACCUCCCUUGUAUUACCUAUCUGAGUCUUUCUGAUUUACGUGCAUGUGAAAAUCUUCCUCCGUUUGGGCAACUGCCAAACUUAAGAAGUCUAUAUCUGCAUAAAAUUCCUAAAAUCAGGAAAAUCGGCAAGGAAUUCUAUGGGGAAGGUGGAACUUGUAAGAAACUAAGAUUGCUACAACUGCAGUCAAUGGUCAAUUUGGCAGAAUGGUGGACAACACAGUCAGGCAAAGAAGAUGGAGAAUUUUUAAUCCCUAAUUUGCACAAUCUAGAGUUAAAGGACUGCCCAUUGUUGGAGUUCCUACCAUAUCCCCCCAGAAGUAUGUUUUGGUGCUUGGACAAUAGCGAUGAGGUUUUGACAGGACUACGAUUUGGGAAACUCUCAUCUUCCACUCUUCCUUGUCGCAUGGGUAUAAAAAAUUGCAGCUUUCAUCCUGGCAAGUGGAGUAGACUAGAGCAAUUCCCAACUCUCGAAGAAUUCUCAUUGACCUCCUCCUACGGUUUGAGGGCCUUGCCGGAGGCCAUUCGCUGCUUCACCUCUCUCAAAAAGCUAAGUUUGAUGUCGUUGCAUUGGCUGGAGAAGAUGCCAGAAUGGUUGGGAGAUCUCACUUCUCUACAGGUUUUGGGCAUAAAAGAUUGUUGCAAUUUAACUUUUUUGCCUGAAAGUAUGAAAAAACUCACUGCUCUGAGAGUGCUAAUGCUUCUCGAGUGCGAAGGACUAGAUAUAUUGCCGCAAUGGCUAGGACAGCUCAGUUCCCUACGAGAACUUCACAUCAGAGACUGUCCCAACAUCACAUCUUUGCCUGAAAGCAUACAAAACCUUACUGCCUUGGAGGAACUGUACAUUUCUGGUUGUUCAAGUCUGGUUGGAAGGUCCCGCAGGGAGGAUGCAUAUAAGGUUUCUCACAUCCAUAAAGUAAUAUUUGAGCCAGAAGAACCAAAUGAGGAACAAGGACAAGAAGAACCACAGGGAGCAUGUAUGGAUAGGCUAUUGAAAAAACACGGAGAAAGGUAUUAUGGAGAAAAUUCGUCAAGACAUAGAGAGGAACGAGAAGAACUAGAGCUAACAAAUGGACAAGCUGCGGAACCGGAGAACGGGAAGCUUGACCGUCACAGUCAUAGGUCGAACUUUGAAAGAGAAAAUUGUUGA
RNAcentral lists this ribosomal RNA (4506 nucleotides) under Triticum aestivum (bread wheat). Its description in RNAcentral is "partial small subunit ribosomal RNA". Lineage: Eukaryota; Viridiplantae; Streptophyta; Magnoliopsida; Poales; Poaceae. The record is from RNAcentral.